This 455-nucleotide ribosomal RNA is filed under the name uncultured bacterium. RNAcentral describes it as "bacterial SSU rRNA". It matches the Rfam family "Bacterial small subunit ribosomal RNA", at positions 8 to 463 of the family's 1533-position model. The record is from RNAcentral.
AGAGUUUGAUCCUGGCUCAGAUUGAACGCUGGCGGAAUGCUUUACACAUGCAAGUCGAACGGCAGCACGGGAGCUUGCUCCUGGUGGCGAGUGGCGAACGGGUGAGUAACAUAUCGGAACAUAUCCUAUCGUGGGGGAUAACUAGUCGAAAGACUAGCUAAUACCGCAUACGUCCUGAGGGAGAAAGCGGGGGCUCGCAAGACCUCGCGCGAUUGGAGUGGCCGAUAUCUGAUUAGCUAGAUGGUGAGGUAAAAGCUCACCAUGGCGACGAUCAGUAGCUGGUCUGAGAGGAUGAUCAGCCACACUGGGACUGAGACACGGCCCAGACUCCUACGGGAGGCAGCAGUGGGGAAUUUUGGACAAUGGGCGAAAGCCUGAUCCAGCCAUUCCGCGUGAGUGAAGAAGGCCUUCGGGUUGUAAAGCUCUUUCGGCAGGAACGAAACGGUGGGUUCUAA